Phoenix dactylifera (date palm) is the source of this 881-nucleotide non-coding RNA. NCBI's taxonomy places the organism in Eukaryota, Viridiplantae, Streptophyta, Magnoliopsida, Arecales, Arecaceae. The record is from RefSeq and is a predicted model, not a curated record.
CCUCCCAUGUCUCCCUGUGGUCACCCAGUAGGGAGAGGGAUACACAAGUGUGUAUAUGCCAAAAAGAAGAGACAAUGUUUAUUUUAUGUGGAAAUGGAUAUGGGCUCAAUCUUGGCUAGAUCAUGCUUUGACAGCUUCAUUUGUUCCCCUUUUGGGCACAGCAGAUCCCUCACUCAUCACAGAAAAUGAAAGAAAAAGUGAAGAACAAUUUAAUCCCAUCUACAAGAAGGAGGAGCUUCUCAACCUGGUAUUUUUCAGAUGCUUACCCAAUUAAUGUUCUACUACCGCCACUCCUAACAAAGUUGCCCACCUUAUAUGAGGGGGUUCUAAGAUUUUUUUUUUGUACGUAUUUCAAAGUUGAGACAAUAGAACAGUGUCUCACACUUUAUUCCCCAGUGAUCUUUUCUUUACAUGGUAUAUAUAUUUUUCUGUCCACAUUCAUCAAUUAUCUGGCUUCCUGAACCCUUGAAAGUGUCUAAAAGUAUGAGCUUCUGAUGUCAUGACAUUUAUCAUGCUACACCUUUUUGACAAGACUCAUGGGAGUGAGCAUAAGUGUUUCACAGGCACACUUGUUUACAUGGAAAGGAUGUCUCAAGCUCAGCCUUUCUCAAUAUGCUUUUGAAGGAAAUGAUAUCUCUUUGGUCUGGUAGCAGCCUGCUUUGGAUUAUGCUCCUGAUUCUUGUGUGUUGAGGCUUCCCUUCUGCUUCAGUUGCACUCUGGAGUGAGCUCAAUGCAUUAUUUGUACAGUACUUUUUGGUUGGAUGAAUACUAUGCUUGAUUGAAGAGAGAAUGGUGCUGUCCACAUGCUGUCCUUGGAUACACUAAAAACAGUCUAUGCUUGCAUGCUUCUCAACUCAAUAAUGGAUUGGGUUCUUGACCUA